UGGGGAAUAUUGCACAAUGGGCGCAAGCCUGAAUGCAGCGACGCCGCGUGCGGGAUGGAGGCCUUCGGGUUGUAAACCGCUUUUGUUCAAGGGCAAGGCACGGUCUUUGGCCGUGUUGAGUGGAUUGUUCGAAUAAGCACCGGCUAACUACGUGCC
Molecule: ribosomal RNA, 156 nt
Filed under: uncultured bacterium
Lineage: Bacteria
Description: partial 16S ribosomal RNA
Rfam family: Bacterial small subunit ribosomal RNA
Source: RNAcentral